RNAcentral lists this ribosomal RNA (177 nucleotides) under Triticum aestivum (bread wheat). RNAcentral's name for it is "partial small subunit ribosomal RNA". Lineage: Eukaryota; Viridiplantae; Streptophyta; Magnoliopsida; Poales; Poaceae. The record is from RNAcentral.
AUGCUGCCGAAGCUGACGUAGACCACGGAGCUGGGCUCCUUGUCGUCGAGCCACCGGACGCAGUCGUCGGCGUCGAUGGCUGCGGUGUUCCCUCUCGCCGCCAGCGUCGUGGCGUGCUGGUGGUAGAGAGAGACCGGCCCCACGGUCCACACCUUCAUCCCCCUUGCGGCCGCGUAG